This 392-nucleotide ribosomal RNA is filed under the name uncultured Alphaproteobacteria bacterium. RNAcentral's name for it is "bacterial SSU rRNA". It matches the Rfam family "Bacterial small subunit ribosomal RNA", at positions 66 to 488 of the family's 1533-position model. The record is from RNAcentral. Lineage: Bacteria; Pseudomonadati; Pseudomonadota; Alphaproteobacteria.
ACGAAGGCCCGGAGCUUGCUCCGGAUCCCUUAGUGGCGAACGGGUGAGUAUCGCGUGGGAAUCUACCUAGAAGUGGGGAAUAACUGUUGGAAACGAUAGCUAAUACCGCAUAAUCCCUUCGGGGCAAAGGCUUCGGCCGCUUUUAGAUGAGCCCGCGUUAGAUUAGGCUGUUGGUGAGGUAAUGGCUCACCAAACCUACAAUCUAUAGCUGGUCUGAGAGGAUGAUCAGCCACACUGGGACUGAGACACGGCCCAGACUCCUACGGGAGGCAGCAGUGGGGAAUAUUGGACAAUGGGGGAAACCCUGAUCCAGCAAUGCCGCGUGAGUGAUGAAGGCCUUAGGGUUGUAAAACUCUUUCAGAAGUGAAGAUGAUGACGGUAACUUCAGAAGA